UAUCCAAGGAAAUGCUGAGUGGCCAACCUGAACAGUCUUUCAUAGAAAAUGUGGCCUUAGUAUACUAGUACUUCUUUUAAGAAAUAUGAUGGAAUAUCUUGCAGUGGAGAAGAACCAGGAAGGAUCAAUCAAUAUCUUUGCAAGUUUCUUAAAAAAGUUUUGAAAUUGCUACUGAAAAUGUUUUUCACAUGCCCUUCCAACAUCGAAGACCCAGAUUACAAGCUAAAAUUCAAGCAAUUGAUUGGGCUGCAAAAACCAGGGAUGUAUUUGUAGUGGAGAUGGGGCUUCAACUGGAUUUUGAUUGGUUAAUAUAUAUGAUGGAGAAUGGAAAGUUUCCAGGUUAUAAGACCAACCAGGAUGAAGUCACGAGGGGUAGCUGCAUGUUUGCUGAAGCAGGAGGAAUGUCUCUGCAAGCAAGUUCUACUUUUCAGAUACUACAAUAUGAAAUAAAAGAGGAUGUCUCUUAACUUUCAAGAUAGUCCCCAGAUUUCACUUGUCAAAAACAGUCUUUUUGAAGAGAUUUCUAGAUUUCUUCAUAUGAACAUCAAAUAAUUAGCUACCAUUGCCCACACUCCCCCAUUUGAUAUAUGUGAAGUUAAAUGGAAAAUCUGCCCACUAGAGAUAGGCAGGUGCUAUAUAAACACAUCUGUAGGUCAUUUAGAAAUUACUAUCAUCACUCUUUUCAUUAAAGUGACAUGCAUAUAUUUAGAAACUGCUUUUCAAAAACCUAAUGAAAGACUGUCCUUGAUAACUUCUCUAUAUGUUCAUCUAUAAAUCAUUAUUAAAAUCCUUUACAUAAUGAGGCGCACAUUCUUGGGGAAGAAAAAAAGGAAGUUUCAAUUCUCCCAUUUUUUUAAGGUGAACUGGAAUUCAACCUAUUUGUUUACAUCAUUUUAUACCUGUUGUCACUGCAUGUGUGAAAAGGUGCUUCCUUCCUAUUUCAGAAUUUUAUACAGUUAUGAAUUGUCUCGUAUCAUAUUUUCACUAACAUUGAGAUUAUUGUUUUACUAUGUAGAAAUAAAUACAUAGUUUAGAGCAUCUCAAAAUUCAUGCACUUGUAUCUAGAAGCAACGUUAAGUUUUUCAUGUGAAGAUCCCCAAGACAUCUCUAUUGAGCUCAUUGUAUACUUCCAGUAAACCAUGUAUGUUGAUAUGGUGUCACAGAUAAAGUCUAAAUGUGUAUAUGAGAGUUACAAUAGCUGUUUUCUGCCUGAGUACUCAAAGGUACUUUGAGACUUCUGCCGAAGCCUGCAUUUUGCCCUCGUUCAUGGAAUUCCUAGGCUAAAUGGCACUGCACAGGAGGUAGACAUAGACUUGUUAAACGAGUAAUGGGUUUCUGUGAUCAUCUCACACACAAUUUCCAAAUUUAAUCCUCCUUAUAUAGAGUUUUAUGUAAGGUCAUUUCAUAGUGUGUGUAUGCUGAGGAAGAUAGCUAACGUGCAUAAUUUACUGAAAUAGACAUCUGUUAGAGGUAAACCAGUGAGGUCAUUUUUAUAUUGAAAUCUGUGAGAGAGCCCAUGGAAACAAAGUAUAGUGCAAAUAGAAUAUUACCUCCUGAUUAAAACACCUGUGGAUUCAAUUGAUACCAUUUCAUGUUGCAUGGCAUUGGAAUUAAAGUCCCCAAACACCAAGCUCCUUAGUGUAGCCAAUACUAACAACUCAGGAGUCUCAUUUGAAAAUCCAGUUUAGCCUUUACACAAAGCAUGCACAUCUCAACAUAUGGUUAUCUGUUAUUUUUCAUGUAAAGGACUGUGAUAUUUUGAUUUCCUAUUUUUAUAUGGAUAACUGAAGCAUUUCAAAGGGGCCUUACAUGUAUGUGUUUGGUUGUUUUCAUUCUGCACUACCUGAACA
Canis lupus familiaris (dog) is the source of this 1850-nucleotide long non-coding RNA. RefSeq lists it as uncharacterized. The record is from RefSeq and is a predicted model, not a curated record. The transcript is spliced from 5 exons. Lineage: Eukaryota; Metazoa; Chordata; Mammalia; Carnivora; Canidae.